Molecule: transfer RNA, 91 nt
Filed under: Acetivibrio thermocellus
Lineage: Bacteria; Bacillati; Bacillota; Clostridia; Acetivibrionales; Acetivibrionaceae
Also listed under: 8 other names
Description: Hungateiclostridium thermocellum tRNA_Ser_CGA
Rfam family: tRNA
About the family: Transfer RNA (tRNA) molecules are approximately 80 nucleotides in length. Their secondary structure includes four short double-helical elements and three loops (D, anti-codon, and T loops).
Source: RNAcentral
GGAGACGUAUCGAAGUGGUCAUAACGAGCCUGACUCGAAAUCAGGUUGUCGCGCAAGCGGCACGUGAGUUCGAAUCUCACCGUCUCCGCCA